GCCUUCGAAACUUCAGCUUUCUCAAGUGACCAGGUUAGAAAAUGUAUGGAUUCCAUGGCCUAACGGUCAUCACUGGUAGACAGGCAUAUCUGAAGAAAAAAAGAAAUACAGAUGGGAGACGAACUCCUCUCUUGCCCUGAGAACACUCCCACUAGUUUUUCAAGGUCCAGUGCAGGCUGGCCAGGACUGUCAGUGUGUUGGACUUCGGGGAUGCAGAAUUCCUUCUUCCUGUGAUUCUGUCACUUUCUUACCUGCUAAAGUCACCAGGACAGGAGAAGGUCCUCGGAGCCCCACCAGCCUACAUCACUCUGAGGAGGAGGUCAGAGCGACUCUACUGCCAUUUGUCUAGACAACAAAGCUUAAGUUUUUCCCUCCAAAGAGCUGGCUUCAAAACUGUAUUGGAGGCGGAUCUGGGUGGCUCAGUUCAGUAUCUGCCUCUGGCUCAGGUCAUGAUCCCAGGGCCCUGGAAUUGAGCUCCACAUUGCAGAGAGCCUAUUUCUCCCUCUCCCUCUGCCUUU
Long non-coding RNA from Mustela lutreola (European mink), 518 nucleotides. RefSeq lists it as uncharacterized. Lineage: Eukaryota; Metazoa; Chordata; Mammalia; Carnivora; Mustelidae. The transcript is spliced from 4 exons. The record is from RefSeq and is a predicted model, not a curated record.